This 468-nucleotide ribosomal RNA is filed under the name uncultured bacterium. Its description in RNAcentral is "partial 16S ribosomal RNA". It matches the Rfam family "Bacterial small subunit ribosomal RNA", at positions 28 to 507 of the family's 1533-position model. The record is from RNAcentral.
GACGAACGCUGGCGGCGUGCUUAACACAUGCAAGUCGAACGGAAAGGCCCUGCUUUUGUGGGGUGCUCGAGUGGCGAACGGGUGAGUAACACGUGAGUAACCUGCCCUUGACUUUGGGAUAACUUCAGGAAACUGGGGCUAAUAUCGGAUAGGAGCUCCUGCUGCAUGGUGGGGGUUGGAAAGUUUCGGCGGUUGGGGGUGUAAUCGCGGCUUAUCAGCUUGUUGGUGGGGUAGUGGCUUACCAAGGCUUUGACGGGUAGCCGGCCUGAGAGGGUGACCGGCCACAUUGGGACUGAGAUACGGCCCAGACUCCUACGGGAGGCAGCAGUGGGGAAUAUGGCACAAUGGGCGGAAGCCUGAUGCAGCAACGCCGCGUGCGGGAUGACGGCCUUCGGGUUGUAAACCGCUUUCGCCUGUGACGAAGUGUGAGUGACGGUAAUGGGUAAAGAAGCACCGGCUAACUACGUG